Molecule: ribosomal RNA, 216 nt
Filed under: Triticum aestivum (bread wheat)
Lineage: Eukaryota; Viridiplantae; Streptophyta; Magnoliopsida; Poales; Poaceae
Description: partial small subunit ribosomal RNA
Source: RNAcentral
AUGACCCGCGUCGUCGCCUCCGACGUCGGCCUCUCCUUCACCACCGCCCCUACCGGCAGGGUCCCCCUUGUCAUGGCCUUCCUCGCCUGGGUGUACGUCGCCAGCUGGCCAUAUGGCAGGACGCGCAGACCCGAGCGAUCCUCUCCGGCCUCCUUGAGAAGAGCUCGACUCCAGCCCGGCGACGAUGAUGACCUGAUUCCUACCGGUGGACGAUGA